CUCAGGAUGGCCGAGCGGUCUAAGACGCGAGACUCAAGUUUCCAAACUUGCUGUGCUAAUACUCAGCCAAAGGGCGUUCUGGACCACUAAUGUGGGCGUGGUUUCGAAUCCCACUCCUGACA
RNAcentral lists this transfer RNA (122 nucleotides) under Paramuricea clavata. Its description in RNAcentral is "tRNA-Leu". Lineage: Eukaryota; Metazoa; Cnidaria; Anthozoa; Malacalcyonacea; Plexauridae. The record is from RNAcentral.